UCAUACCACCCCCGCCCCGCACUCACGCAGCUUCCACGCCGUCUUCGUGGUGACGGCCACGGCCAUGGCUCAGAGCGGCGCCCCUGGGGCGGGCACGGCUGCAGCGCCCUCCUCCUCCCGGUGAGGCUCCGCUCCGCUGGCGCGUCCUACGGCCGGGCCGUGCACCGGGGCUGCCCCGGCCGCCCUGCGGGCACACACAAACACGGUCACGGCGAGACCCUCCCGAGCGGCGGCGCGGCGGAGGGCGAGGCCUCACCGCUGAUGAACAUCACGGGGCGGGAGCGCUCCUCGGGCCGUCGUGGGGGAUCGUCUGGACGCUGGUGGCGGCGGGGCCCGGCGGCACCGCACCGGGACCGGCACCGGGACCCCCCCGCCUACAACCGGCCCUUCACAACAACCCCGCGCCGCGCCGGGCGGUUGCCCGGGUUGCGCGCGCGGCUUGGCCAAUAGGAAGCGAGGGCGGGGCGGUUGCCAUAGCGACGGUGCAGCGGCGUCCACUCGCAACGCGGCUUCUUGGGGGAGCCCUUCGAGCGCUGCCAAUGAGGAGGCGGCGUGCUGAAUGGGCGCCGCCAUCUUGCGGAGCCGCCCUGAGGGGCGGGGUUCGGGCCGCGGCCGGGAGGGGUCGCGGCGCUUCGGCGGGCGAUCCUCCGCGGAAUCGGAGCCUGGGGCGGCUUCGCAGCUUCCAUGGGGGCGGCCUCGGUCCUUCCCAGGCACUCUUAGCGUGUCCCAGGAGUUAGUUCCCGGAUGCCACGGGCACAGACCCUGAGGGAGCGGGUCUCCCGUGAGACUUCUGCGCCUCCCGCCGCCCGGCUGAGGUGCGGUCGUGUCGUGCCGCUUGCGCGUGUUUCUCGCCGUCUCUGAAGCCAAUUACUCCCAUCAACAGAGAAAAUCAAAUUAGUUUGGCGCUACUCCUUGAUCAUGGCCCAAGAACGCUGGCAGAAUUCUCAAGGAUCACCCCCUCCAAGCUCGGGAGCGAUGCAUCCCGACAAGGAGGAAAUCGGGCAAAAAUGCCAGGAGGCCUCCGUGGAUGGAUAAGGAGCUGCUGAGCAAACUCAGAGCUAAAAAAGAAGCUUUCGGGAAGUGGAGAGGAGGACAGGUGGCCUGGGAGGAAUACAGGGAAAUCCCAUGGCAAGGGGGGUUGGGACUAGAUGAUCCAUUCCAACCCCUUAACAUUCUAUGAUUUAAUAAUAUGCUGAUGUUUUGGCAGCUGCUCUGUCCCUAAUGACUGUAAAAAUAUUUUUAAAUUAAUUUAUUCUGGUGCCUUUUCUGGUAUUGAAUUAACAAGGAUGAGUUCAUAACCACAGUGCUAUGUGUGGGUUUUGUCAUUGGAGACCUCUAAAUGAGAUGAAAGAAAUUUUAUGUUUGUGGUGAACUCACCAGUUCAAAAUCUUGGCUUGUGCAAAACUAAAUUAUGAAUUUGUUAAAAUAUUAUUAUGUUUGAAAAGAACCGGUAUUCCCAAAUAAUCCUGCUCCUGAUGUCAGCAGCUAUGGAUCAGGUUUGGGGAAGAAAAGCCCUGAGAGACAGUGUCAGACUUGAGUCUCAGACAUGAUGGGAUUUCGUGUGGAGGGAAUUGAUGUACCUGCAGAUGGGCCUUAGAACAGAAGAGGGAAAAGAAAAAGACACAAUGCUGCAAGUUCAUUAAAAUCUCCUGAUGAAUCUGAUGAUUUUGAGAUUACUGCAGGCAGCUACAGAGAAGGAAGGAAGGGAGAAGUCAGUCAUGCCCAGCCAGGCGGGGGUUCCUGAGCAGCGCCUCUUGAAGAGAAUGGGAUUUCUGUUGUGCCAGCUGCUUUUCCCUGUAACAACAAGGGGGAUAUCAGAGGAAAACUGCAGUGGGAAUCAACCAUUUUGCAGAACAGCUUCAGUGCCAAGUUCCCAGGGGGCUGCCUUGUAGACCUUCCCUGGGCACUGCUCAGGCAUCAUUCCCAAUACCUGCUGGGCCUCUGCUUGAGUCUGGGCAUACUGGCGCUGGUUGCAGCGUGAUGGGCACGGAAUUCAUCCUCCUCCCAGCUCUUGUUCUCUGAAACAAGAGAGCUCUGGGAGCUCCUCUGCCGCUUUUCCAGUGCCUGUGAGGGAACAAGCAACCAAAAGUCAGGGAAAUAGAGAGGGAAGUGAGGAGCAAAGGCACACAAAAGCAUAACUCAAAGUCCAGGGAGCUGAGAUGAAAGAAACCACAAACUGGAGCUGAUUUAUUUUCAGGGAGAGGCAAAAAGUUUGAGAUGAGGUCUCAUGAGAACAAGAAAACAAGGGGAGUCAAAACACGUGGAACAGCAAGAGGCAGCAAACUCCCAAAGUGUUGCCUCCCUAGAGUCAAGAAGCCCUGGAGAACCAAACUGGAUCUGGUUGAGAUAAGGACUAAAUUUCACUGUGGAGCUAUUUUGUUCUUUGAUCUCACAUGCUAAAGAUAAAAAAAAAAUAAAUUUUAUAUAUAUAUAUAUACAGGCAUGGCUCUCUUAAAAUACUCCCCCCAUAAUCCCUAUUAUCAAGUAGUGCUUCUUAAUUAUUUUCUUUAUUAACUAAACAAAAUAAACCAGUAAUCUUUCUCAGUAAUGUGAGUUUUUCCAGAAAGUCAGAAGGUGACCAUAGCAUAACCAUGUUAUAUUUCCCUGGGAAGUCAACUGAAGCUGUGCUGACUUACACCGUACUGGGAUUUGUCCCCCAAUAUAUUUUAAUGAUACUAAAAGCCCUUCAGAGGUAAUUCCUCAGAGGGAAAAAGCUUACUCUGGAUUCCUUUGGGUACAUGUAUGAAAUGCUGGCAUGAACCUACCAUGGCUUCGUGCUGACAUUCUCUCCUUGCAGCGUUAUACAUUGAAACUGUCAAUUUAAUAUUGGCUUCUUCAUCCUCACGAACCUUCAAGACAUUUAGCACCUUCCAAAAAAUCAGAAGAAAGACCCCUCAGCUUUCCCACAAAAUGACUGUACUUUUACAUGCUUGACCUGCUACCAGAGCAGGUGCUGCAUACAAGACUUGUACAAUAAGGGUAAAUACAUAUCUAUACAAAUAUGUUCAUAUCCUGUGGGUAGAUCAAGCUGAUAGUAGUAUUAAUUUUAGAUUGUUACACCGUAUGAAAUUCUUGAACCCCGUUAUUGAUAAUUGAUAAGAAAGCUUUCCUGGAGUCACAGUCUUGGCACUACUUUUGAAACGGCAGCAAAAGCUUUGGCUUAUACUUUGUCUUAUACAGGAUAUGCAGCACAAGCAGUGUGAAUAUUUUGUCUGUUGAUACAUCCAGACUGAGAAAUUUGCAAGGUAGUUCAUGAGGUCACAGUGAACUACCUUCAAAUUUCUGGGGAAAUCUUCACCAAACAAUGGCUGGGGAGCAAGCAUGAUCAUUCAGCAUAGAGACCAACUUUGUGACACCAGAGUCUUAUUUUUACCACAGUUUAUGCUGAGGAUGCUUUGGCAACCAGUCAGCUGAAACUGUUUCCACGCCUGAUCAACUCUGACAGUGUUGCACCUCCCUCUUACCUCUGCUUCAGAUUCCCGGACUUGAUGCUUCAGCUCCUUCUGUUCCUUUCUCAGGUCCCACAGCAACUUGUACAGAUGGAGCACGUUCUUUUGUUUCUCAGAGGACCAUGGCUGGAAGCAGAUAAGUCAGUGUAAAACAGCAGCACUGUCUGGAUCCAUGGGAUCAGGGUAAACACUGGAGAUUUAAGGAAUGAUGGGGCCCAAGAAAUCCAUGGCAAAGACAGAGCUAGAACACAGGGUGUCUGCCUCUGCUGCUCUGCUCUAUCUCUUCUUGAAGAGGGAACAGCAGAGGAAAUUUCAGCUGCCCUGCCCUGAAUCCACAGAACUGAGCCCAACAGCUGCUGAACCUGCAUCUUGCAAGAUCCCAGGGGCUGUGGGAUCUGCCUGAUGACCAAGUCUGGGAAGAUGACCUCAGAGGAAGCCUGUCACACCACACUACGUCCUGCAUGCCCAGUCACUCCCAGCAUGGCAGGGCAACUCCAGGGCUGUCCAUGUUGUGGACAGGGGCUGGGAGGGAGGUGUGCAGGUGGAGCAGAGGGGCAGCAUGGAAUAUGUCAUACUUGUAGUUCUUCCACUGACAUUUCACCUUCCCUUUGUGUCCUGUGAUCUAAAAAGAUUUCAAAAUAAAUGUAGUUUUUCUUCAUA
Molecule: long non-coding RNA, 4109 nt
Organism: Pipra filicauda (Wire-tailed manakin)
Lineage: Eukaryota; Metazoa; Chordata; Aves; Passeriformes; Pipridae
Exons: 2
Source: RefSeq, a predicted model, not a curated record